AAGGAAAAAUAAAUAAAUAAAAUAAAAUAAAAUAAAUUAGUUUGAAGCAAGUCGAAUUGUUUGGAUGCGUGGAGAUGAUAAUUCUGGCACAAAUUAGAUAAUCUCAACCCUCCUCCUUCCCAGAAUAAGAGCACGGUUAAGUCGUUACCAAUCAGAGUGGCCCGUAGAAUGCCCUACGAUGUCAUACCCUAUUAAUUUCGACACUUCUAAAACCUCCAAAAAGCUUGCAUUGGUCGUGGAUUGGAUUCUAAGCGGGUCUGCAUUGUGCUCCGCAAGAUGGCCAUGGAAGCUGAUCAAGCUGCAGUUGGUGGUGGCAUUUCAGUUCUUAUACAACAGCUGGUAGAUGAUGACCAUCCUGCAACAGUCUUUGGAGUAGUAAUUACUCUGUAGCUUAUGUGGAUUUUCUGACAUUUUAAUUGGAAUGAUUCAGUGAUAAAAGUAAUUGUAAAAUAGUCAUCUAAGUUCAAAUCCUUCGUUCCAAUAUUUAAAAUUAAAAAAAAAAACAAAAAAACAAAAAAACCCCUCAAUUCAAGGUGAAAUUUGUAAUUAAAAUGUAAGUUUUAUAGCAUUUCUAAAAUAAAGAAGUUUGAAGCAAGUAAAAUGGAGUGGCGCGUACAAUAGAUUGUAGUUUGGCGGGCCUUCUUGCUUAAAACCGGAAGCCUGAACCAACAGCACGUGUCGUCUCACGUGCUUGGUCCAUCGCCACCUCCGCAGUCAUUGCUUGCCUUUGUAUCAAUAGGUAUGUACUACUCUUUGAUUUCUUCUCCCUUGGGAUCAAUUUCGAAACUUCGAAAAACCUCCAUAGAAGCUUGCAUUUAUCCUGCAUUGUAUUCUUAUUUUCAGACAGACCCAGUUGGGCAAUUUCAGUAUUAUUUGGUGGGGUUGAAUUUCUUCUCCAAGUUAACUCGGGAAUCUAAGGGGUUUUACAUUGUGGCUUACUCUCUAUUUCGUUUUUGUGCAGCACAGAGAUGGCCAUGGAAGCUGCUCAAGCCGCAAUUAGUUAGUAGUAGCAUCUCGCUUUGAGUUAUUUAACAUAUUAAUUUAUUUAUUUGGAUUUUUUUUUUUUUUUUCUGAAAUGAAAUUGAGAAACUUCUUUCAGUCUUAAAUUAUAGACUAGAGGCAGAACUUUGUUGAAAUGAUUUUGACAAUGAAAUGAGUUUUGGAUUGUAUUAUCAGACUUUGAAUUCUCACCAUUUUUCUUGCACUUGUGGAAGUUGGAAAUUUUUUUAUUUUUAGGGCCUUGUGAGGAGAAACUAUUCCUACAAGUUUGCAUCGAUUGGGGUUUAUUUUUAUUUUUGCGGCCCCUGAGGCAAGAUGUUUAGCCCAAGAAAGAACCAAACUUUAUCCAUGUAAAACUGCCAUAUGAACGCAAAAUAACGUGUGAUCAUGAGAAAGAGCCAUCUUGUUCAGUUAUUGAAGUCAUAAAAGAUAACAUGUUCAUGAGGAAGAGCUUAAUGUUCAGGACGAAGUACAUCUAUUUCUGACAGGACCUUUGAUAUAUGUAGUUCAUUAGGAGUGGUCAUGGUGAAUACAUUCAGGUAUCCAAUUUGGUUACCAAUAUAUGCAUCCUAUGAGAAGCUCAAAAUCCAAGUGUUUCUCUCUUUUUUUAUUUUAUUUUUUUCUUUUUAACAACUAUAAAAGGUGGAAUGAAUUUGUUUCAAUUAUAUUUUCCUUUACACUGUUUUGCGUGUCUAUUUCUGAAGCUGCUAAAUACUCCGCAGGUUGGAACAGUAUUAAAUAUUGAAGAUGCCAAAAAGGCAACAAUUGCAGCGGCCAAAUUUCUCAUGAGUAAGCAAUGGUGAAGGUAAGAGUUUUAGACUUGUGAAAUCCCAUAUCUUUGUCUGAUUUUUGAUAUGAUACAUAAAAAAUUGUGAAAUAGUAUUAUUCUCUCUCUCUCUCUCUCUCUCUCUCGCUAUAUAUGUAAAUAUAUAUCAAUCUAUUUAUCUUAUUUUAUGUUUUUCCAUUUCCUUAUCAAUAAUCAGGACAUUCUGGAUGCUUCCCAGAGGGGUGAAGUUUUAUAUAUGCCUGGGCUAAUGACCCAAUAGAGUUAUGAACAUAUAGAAAAUGUUUGUCUAUUGAGGUUUCUUUUCAUUUUUCCUUGAACUUGAUUUGUUGUAGUAUUUGUAUUCUAAUUCUUUACUUUAUAACUACAGCGGCAAAUCUAAAGAUGUUAAAUCUCUGUCAAUUGCAUUUUUCUUAACAUUCUUUUGAGAUUAUAAUUCUUAAAUCAUUUUUCCUUCAAAGAUAAUUUAAGAAUCUAUAUGUGGCUUCCAGAUAUUUUCUACACAUGAUGUUGGUGCCAAAAUUGUUGAGGUGAGUCUUACUGUUCAUGUUUCUUCUACAAAAAUUGAUUAUCGUCAACAUGGAUGUGAACUGCACUUCCUUCUUGCAUAAUAAAUGGAUUUAUAAAUUUGUCUGCUUGUCCCUCAUAAUUCCAAUUAGAAUUUUUGUUAAGCACAUUAUGUAUCUUACAUAUUGAUAUGGAAAAUGUUCUGAUUCAGCAUGUUAGCAUAUAAAAUUACAUUCACGCUUCAAUAACUUUCUAAAUUCAACUCUAGUUUGAAAACUGGUUACUCAAAGGUAUUACCAGAGAAAUGAUAAUAUAAAAAGCAUUUAGAAUGUUAAGGUGAAGUGAGAAAAUAAAAUUUUAAAGUCUCUAAUUAAUGCUUCGGCUUUAAAACAAAAAAUUUAAAGAAUGAAAGACACACACAAGAGAUUUAGCAGUCAAGAGUAAAGUUAUUCUGCAUAUCAAUUUCUCAUCAUUGUUGUUCAAGUCCAGAGAUAGCCUAGGAAUAAUCUCCAUCAUAUUUGGUGACAGAGGUUUAUCCUGUUUCAGCAUUAGAUGGUGUAAAGUAUAUUUCAGCCCUCAAGAAGCCUUGUCCUCGCAUCUUGAUUUUCCCUUCUUUUUUUUCUUUUUCCAAAGCUCCAGCCUUUCAUCUUAUGACAUUACAUAGACGUCCUUGUAUGUAUCAUCUUACUUGCUGUCUCAGUGUCCAAGCAUUUCUUGCACGGUGUAUCCCAACAUUCUUACUUCUCAAUUUUAUUUAAAGUUCAUGUGCUAGACCUACAUGAUAUGAAUGCGUUGUUUAUAGUUUAGAAUUUAAACUAUAUAAUCCUACGUUGACAGAUUCAAUGCAACAUUUUCCCAAAAGCAAGAUACUGAUUCAUUGAUGUUUGACACUAACGCACAUAUUAUUUUCGUUUGUUACAGAUUCAGUUGGUGAAUAUAUAGUUCAGGGAGCAUCAUCCCCCCCCUUUUUUUUUUUUUUAUCGGAUCCCAUAUUUAGUCAAAAUAAUUUCAAUGAAAUAUAUCACUUGCAUAUAUUGCGGCUUUGGAGGGGAAUGAAGCUGUGUAACGGUUAGCUUCAUUGCGGUUUGGGGACAUCUCAUAACUUAAUUGUGUUCUUCUAUUCUUCGCAUUUUACACGUCCUGUUUUAAUAUCCCUCUAUUCAGUACUCUCUUCUCUCAUUUAUUUCUCAUAUUCUCUUUAUUUAUGUUCUUCUCGCCAGUUCAUAUAGACUAAACUAGAUUCACAUGUUUCUCUCUUCUCUCAUUUAUUUCUCAUAUUCUCUUUAUUUAUGUUCUUCUCGCCAGUUCAUAUAGACUAAACUAGAUUCACAUGUUUCUCUCUUCUCUCAUUUAUUUCUCAUAUUCUCUUCUAUUUCCCAUUAUUGGCCUGUUUGAUUGUUAUGCGGCACGAGGAAGGGCAUGUCAAAUUACCCCAGGGGUUAGUCAAUAGUUUUCAUCCGGAUCAUCAUACCAGGGGAAGAUCACGCAUAAGUUGGGGAUAGUGCUAUUGGGUUUCCUCAAAGACAUGUACUAGCAGAUUAAUUAAAUCAGGGGUCAUUAGGGGGGAAAAAAUGACAUAUCAGUAGUGUACAAAACUCAGAAUCUGAAAAUUUCCUCCCAGAUGCAGAUUGACCGUAGUUGUUUGAUUUUUCAGUUUUCUUUCUUUUUUGAUCCCUAUCAGUGUUUGAACUAUGUAAAUAUAGAUUAUAAAUGCAUAUAAAUUUUCUUUCUUGAGAAUAGAAAUUUGACAAAAUCAUCUUCUUGCA
Ziziphus jujuba (common jujube) is the source of this 4056-nucleotide long non-coding RNA. RefSeq lists it as uncharacterized. Lineage: Eukaryota; Viridiplantae; Streptophyta; Magnoliopsida; Rosales; Rhamnaceae. The transcript is spliced from 4 exons. The record is from RefSeq and is a predicted model, not a curated record.